GAUGAACGCUGGCGGCGUGCCUAAUACAUGCAAGUCGAGCGAACGGACGAGAAGCUUGCUUCUCUGAUGUUAACGGCGGACGGGUGAGUAACACGUGGAUAACCUACCUAUAAGACUGGGAUAACUUCGGGAAACCGGAGCUAAUACCGGAUAAUAUUUUGAACCGCAUGGUUCAAAAGUGAAAGACGGUCUUGCUGUCACUUAUAGAUGGAUCCGCGCUGCAUUAGCUAGUUGGUAAGGUAACGGCUUACCAAGGCAACGAUGCAUAGCCGACCUGAGAGGGUGAUCGGCCACACUGGAACUGAGACACGGUCCAGACUCCUACGGGAGGCAGCAGUAGGGAAUCUUCCGCAAUGGGCGAAAGCCUGACGGAGCAACGCCGCGUGAGUGAUGAAGGUCUUCGGAUCGUAAAACUCUGUUAUUAGGGAAGAACAUAUGUGUAGGUAACUGUGCACAUCUUGACGGUACCUAAUCAGAAAGCCACGGCUAACUACGUG
This 497-nucleotide ribosomal RNA is filed under the name uncultured bacterium. RNAcentral's name for it is "partial 16S ribosomal RNA". It matches the Rfam family "Bacterial small subunit ribosomal RNA", at positions 28 to 507 of the family's 1533-position model. The record is from RNAcentral.